Molecule: transfer RNA, 67 nt
Filed under: Bos taurus (domestic cattle)
Lineage: Eukaryota; Metazoa; Chordata; Mammalia; Artiodactyla; Bovidae
Also listed under: 3 other names
Rfam family: tRNA
About the family: Transfer RNA (tRNA) molecules are approximately 80 nucleotides in length. Their secondary structure includes four short double-helical elements and three loops (D, anti-codon, and T loops). Further hydrogen bonds mediate the characteristic L-shaped molecular structure. tRNAs have two regions of fundamental functional importance: the anti-codon, which is responsible for specific mRNA codon recognition, and the 3' end, to which the tRNAs corresponding amino acid is attached (by aminoacyl-tRNA synthetases). tRNAs cope with the degeneracy of the genetic code in two manners: having more than one tRNA (with a specific anti-codon) for a particular amino acid; and 'wobble' base-pairing, i.e. permitting non-standard base-pairing at the 3rd anti-codon position.
Source: Rfam by way of RNAcentral
CCCGGUGGCUCCGCGGUAAAGCAUCUGCCUGCAAUGCAGGAGACACAGGUUCAAUCCCUGGUCCAGG